GAUGAACGCUGGCGGCGUGCCUAAUACAUGCAAGUCGAGCGAACGGACGAGAAGCUUGCUUCUCUGAUGUUAGCGGCGGACGGGUGAGUAACACGUGGAUAACCUACCUAUAAGACUGGGAUAACUUCGGGAAACCGGAGCUAAUACCGGAUGAUAUUUUGAACCGCAUGGUUCAAAAGUGAAAGACGGUCUUGCUGUCACUUAUAGAUGGAUCCGCGCUGCAUUAGCUAGUUGGUAAGGUAACGGCUUACCAAGGCAACGAUGCAUAGCCGACCUGAGAGGGUGAUCGGCCACACUGGAACUGAGACACGGUCCAGACUCCUACGGGAGGCAGCAGUAGGGAAUCUUCCGCAAUGGGCGAGAGCCUGACGGAGCAACGCCGCGUGAGUGAUGAAGGUUUUCGGAUCGUAAAACUCUGUUAUUAGGGAAGAACAUAUGUGUAAGUAACUGUGCACAUCUUGACGGUACCUAAUCAGAAAGCCACGGCUAACUACGUG
This 497-nucleotide ribosomal RNA is filed under the name uncultured bacterium. RNAcentral's name for it is "partial 16S ribosomal RNA". It matches the Rfam family "Bacterial small subunit ribosomal RNA", at positions 28 to 507 of the family's 1533-position model. The record is from RNAcentral.